This 253-nucleotide ribosomal RNA is filed under the name uncultured bacterium. RNAcentral's name for it is "partial 16S ribosomal RNA". It matches the Rfam family "Bacterial small subunit ribosomal RNA", at positions 524 to 776 of the family's 1533-position model. The record is from RNAcentral.
UACGGAGGGUGCGAGCGUUAUCCGGAUUCACUGGGUUUAAAGGGUGCGUAGGUGGGCAUGUAAGUCAGUGGUGAAAUCUCUGGGCUUAACUCAGAAACUGCCAUUGAUACUAUGUUUCUUGAAUUUUCUGGAGGUCAGCGGAAUAUGUCAUGUAGCGGUGAAAUGCUUAGAUAUGACAUAGAACACCAAUUGCGAAGGCAGCUUGCUACAGGGAUAUUGACACUGAGGCACGAAAGCGUGGGGAUCAAACAGG